Molecule: long non-coding RNA, 340 nt
Filed under: Setaria italica (foxtail millet)
Lineage: Eukaryota; Viridiplantae; Streptophyta; Magnoliopsida; Poales; Poaceae
Description: long non-coding RNA (SITA_LNC005664)
Source: RNAcentral
UCAUCGACGUCGUCGUCCUCCUCGCCAGGCACGAUAUCCGGGAAAUCGUAGUAGAUGAAGGAGCUCGCCGGCGGCGGGGCGCGUCCGAAGGAGACGCGCAGGUGCUGGCCUGUGAAGGUGCGGGAGUAUGCAACGGUCUUGGCGUCAGCAACGAAUGAAUCGUCCAUUCGGAUGCCAUACCUGUUCAGCAUCACCCAGCCUGGGUCUUCGGUGGCGGCCGGCGGCGAAUGUGAAUCAUGGACGUGCGACGCCUGACGGCGGCCGCGGCUUGGGACGCGGUGGAUCGACCGUAGGCCAUUAAUGGAGGGUCGGCUGAUGAGGAUGCGCCCGUCGAAGCAAG